AACGAACGCUGGCGGCAUGCCUAACACAUGCAAGUCGAACGAGACCUCCGGGUCUUGUGGCGCACGUGUGCGUAACGCGUGGGAACCUGCACUUAGGUACGGAAUAACUCACCGAAAGGGGUGCUAAUACAGGUGAAUGUCUUAGGACAAAAGAUCUAUGGCCUUUGGAUGGGCGCGCGUUGGAUUAGCUGGUUGGUAGGGUAAAAGCAUACCAAGGCGACGAUGCAUAGCUGGUCGGGGAGGAUGACUAGCCACGCUGGAGCUGAGACACGGCCCAGAAUCCUACGCAAGGGAGCAGAGGGGAAUAUUGGAGAAUGGACGAAGGCGUGAUCCAGCAACGUGGGGUAAGUGAGGAAGGCCGUAGGGUUGUGAUGUUGUUUUACCCGAGAUGAUAGUGACGGUACCGGGAGAAUAAGCACCGGCUAACUCCGUG
RNAcentral lists this ribosomal RNA (433 nucleotides) under uncultured bacterium. RNAcentral describes it as "partial 16S ribosomal RNA". It matches the Rfam family "Bacterial small subunit ribosomal RNA", at positions 29 to 507 of the family's 1533-position model. The record is from RNAcentral.